Molecule: long non-coding RNA, 3781 nt
Filed under: Populus tremula
Lineage: Eukaryota; Viridiplantae; Streptophyta; Magnoliopsida; Malpighiales; Salicaceae
Description: long non-coding RNA (PTRE_LNC000415)
Source: RNAcentral
AAAUAUAACCUGGCCGAUAUAAAAACACCAAAUAUGAUCUGACAUAUCUCGAAAAUCUCCUCUCUCCUCUCUCUGCUCCCUCCUCUUCUCCCUUUUCCUUCGGUUUCUUUUAUGGCAGUUUCUCCUAGGGUCAGGGUUUCAGAUCCGUCAUGGGAAAUUCCGGUCCCAAAAUACAAACGGGCUCUAGUCGAAUUACGCCAGCGAAAAAACAACGCCUUCCACCUCUCUAUUCUAAAGCCAACCAAACGGUAUUCAUUCAGCUCAUUGUUACUUUUUUUUUAUUAUUAUGUUUCUGUUUUAUUUUAAGGAACAGAUUGAUUGGUUAUCUGGCAAGGCAAUGAGGUAUUCUAUGUAAAAAGCUUUGCAAAAAGGGUUAAUGGUGCAUCUAGUGCCCCUGUUCUCUGAUUUUUCUUGUUUUGGCCCCUUUAGAUAAUUGUUUUGCACAGAAUGCUUUUUACUGCAGCCAUGACUUCUCAUGUUCUUUACUUAUGAUCGUAUGGUAAGAAAGAAAUACUAGCCUCACCGUGUUCCUUUUAUUGAAAUGCGUUGGAAAUUAAGAAUAUGAUAUGGUCACGAUUUCUUCAGUGUUAUUGUUUUUCUAUGAUCUUCAUCCUUGUAUUCCUAUAAAAAGAAAGGUAAUGCACUGAGGCUAAGAUGAUAUUUUUUAUGGAAAUUUCAUACAUAUUGUUUUAAGGAACAAAGUGAUUGGUUAUUUGGCAAGGCAAUGCGGUGUUCUGUGCAAAAAGAAUUAAUGGCAUUAUAUAGUCCUUCUGUUUUCUGAUUUUUCCUGUUCUGGUCCCUUUAAAUAAUUGUUUUGCACAGAAUGCCUUUUACUGCAGCCAUGACUUCUCAUGUUUUUUACUUAUGAUCAUAUGGUCAAAGGGGAAUCCUAGCCUCACCGUGUUCCUUUUAUUGAAAUGCGUUGGAAAUUAAGAAUAUGGUCACUAUUUCUUUAAUGUUAUUGUUUUUUCAUGAUCUUCAUCCUUGUUUUCCUAUAAAAAGAAAGGUAAUGCACUGAGGUUAAGAUGAUUUUUUUUACGGAAAGUUCAUACAUAUUGUUUUAAGGAACAAAUUGAUUGGUUAUUUGGCAAGGCAAUGAGGUGUUCUGUGCAAAAAGAAUUGAUGGCGUAUUAAGUCCCUCUGUUUUCUGAUUUUUCCUGUUCUGGUCCCUUUAAAUAAUUGUUUUGCACAGAAUGCCUUUUACUGCAGCCAUGACUUCUCAUGUUCUUUACUUAUGAUCAUAUGGUCAAAGGGGAAUCCUAGCCUCACCGUGUUCCUUUUAUUGAAAGGCGUUGGAAAUUAAGAAUAUGGUCACUAUUUCUUUAGUGUUAUUGUUUUUUCAUGAUCUUCAUCCUUGUUUUCCUAUAAAAAGAAAGGUAAUGCACUGAGGCUAAGAUGAUAUUUUUUACGGAAAGUUUCAUACAUGUUGUUUUAAGGAACAAAUUGAUUGGUUAUUUGGCAAGGCAAUGAGGUGUUCUGUGCAAAAAGAAUUGAUGGUGUAUAAAGUCCCUCUGUGUUCUGAUUUUUCCUGUUCUGGUCCCUUUAAAUAAUUGUUUUGCACAGAAUGCCUUUUACUGAAGCCAUGACUACUCAUGUUCUUUACUUAUGAUCAUAUGGUCAAAAGGGAAUCCUAGCCUCACCGUGUUCCUUUUAUUGAAAUGCGUUGGAAAUUAUGAAUAUGGUCACUAUUUCUUUAGUGUUCUUGUUUUUUCAUGAUCUUCAUCCUUCUUUUCCUAUAAAAAGAAAGGUAAUGCACUGAGGUUAAGAUGAUUUUUUUACGGAAAGUUUCAUACAUAUUGUUUUAAGGGACAAAUUGAUUGGUUAUUUGGCAAGGCAAUGAGGUGUUCUGUGCAAAAAGAAUUGAUGGCAUAUAAAGUCCCUCUGUUUUCUGAUUUUUCCUGUUCUGGUCCCUUUAAAUAAUUGUUUUGCACAGAAUGCCUUUUACUGCAGCCAUGACUUCUCAUGUUCUUUACUUAUGAUCAUAUGGUCAAAGGGGAAUCCUAGCCUCACCGUGUUCCUUUUAUUGAAACGCGUUGGAAAUUAAGAAUAUGGUCACUAUUUCUUUAAUGUUAUUGUUUUUUCAUGAUCUUCAUCCUUGUUUUCCUAUAAAAAGAAAGGUAAUGCACUGAGGCUAAGAUGAUUUUUUUACGGAAAGUUUCAUACAUGUUGUUUUAAGGAACAAAUUGAUUGGUUAUUUGGCAAGGCAAUGAGGUGUUCUGUGCAAAAAGAAUUGAUGGUGUAUAAAGUCCCUCUGUGUUCUGAUUUUUCCUGUUCUGGUCCCUUUAAAUAAUUGUUUUGCACAGAAUGCCUUUUACUGAAGCCAUGACUACUCAUGUUUUUUACUUAUGAUCAUAUGGUCAAAAGGGAAUCCUAGCCUCACCGUGUUCCUUUUAUUGAAAUGCGUUGGAAAUUAUGAAUAUGGUCACUAUUUCUUUAGUGUUCUUGUUUUUUCAUGAUCUUCAUCCUUCUUUUCCUAUAAAAAGAAAGGUAAUGCACUGAGGUUAAGAUGAUUUGUUUUACGGAAAGUUUCAUACAUAUUGUUUUAAGGGACAAAUUGAUUGGUUAUUUGGCAAGGCAAUGAGGUGUUCUGUGCAAAAAGAAUUGAUGGCAUAUAAAGUCCCUCUGUUUUCUGAUUUUUCCUGUUCUGGUCCCUUUAAAUAAUUGUUUUGCACAGAAUGCCUUUUACUGCAGCCAUGACUUCUCUUCUUUACUUAUGAUCAUAUGGUCAAGGGGAUCCUAGCCUCACCGUGUUCCUUUUAUUGAAACGCGUUGGAAAUUAAGAAUAUGGUCACUAUUUCUUUAAUGUUAUUGUUUUUUCAUGAUCUUCAUCCUUGUUUUCCUAUAAAAAGAAAGGUAAUGCACUGAGGCUAAGAUGAUAUUUUUUACGGAAAGUUUCAUACAUGUUGUUUUAAGGAACAAAUUGAUUGGUUAUUUGGCAAGGCAAUGAGGUGUUCUGUGCAAAAAGAAUUGAUGGUGUAUAAAGUCCCUCUGUGUUCUGAUUUUUCCUGUUCUUGUCCCUUUAAAUAAUUGUUUUGCACAGAAUGCCUUUUAUUGCAGCCAUGAUUUCUCAUAUUUUUUACUUAUGAUCAUAUGGUCAAAAGGGAAUCCUAGCCUCACCGUGUUCCUUUUAUUGAAAUGCGUUGGAAAUUAAGAAUAUGGUCACAAUUUCUUUAGUGUUAUUGUUUUUUCAUGAUCUUCAUCCUUGGUUUCCUAUAAAAAGAAAGGUAAUGCACUGAGGCUAUGAUGAUAUUUUUUACGGAAAGUUCAUACAUAUUGUUUUAAGGAACAAAUUGAUUGGUUAUUUGGCAAGGCAAUGAGGUGUUCUGUGCAAAAAGAAUUGAUGGCGUAUUAGUCCCUCUGUUUUCUGAUUUUUCCUGUUCUGGUCCCUUUAGAUAAUUGUUUUGCACAGAAUGCCUUUUACUGCAGCCAUGACUUCUCAUGUUCUUUACUUGUGAUCAUAUGGUCAAAGGGGAAUCCUAGCCUCACCGUGUUCCUUUUAUUGAAAUGCGUUGGAAAUUAAGAAUAUGAUAUGGUCACGAUUUCUUCAGUGUUAUUGUUUUUCUAUGAUCUUCAUCCUUGUAUUCCUAUAAAAAGAAAGGUAAUGCACUGAGGCUUAGAUGAUAUUUUUUAUGGAAAAUUUCAUACAUAUUGUUUUAAGGAACAAAUUGAUUGGUUAUUUGGCAAGGCAAUGAGGUGUUCUGUGCAAAAAGAAUUGAUGGCAUAUAUAGUCCCUCUGUUUUCUGAUUUUUCCUGUUUUGGUCCCUUUAAAUAAUUGUUUUGC